AUACUUACCUGGCAGGGGAUGUCAUGAUCACAAAGGUGGUUUUCUCAGGAUGAGGCUUAUCCAUUGCACUCUGGAUGUGAUGACCUCUGCGAUUUCCCCAAAUGAUGCAAACUCGAAUAAAUAAUUUGUGGUAGUGGGGAACACGUUUGCACUCUCCUCU
Small nuclear RNA from Suncus etruscus (white-toothed pygmy shrew), 160 nucleotides. RefSeq annotates it as U1 spliceosomal RNA. The transcript has a single exon. The record is from RefSeq and is a predicted model, not a curated record. Lineage: Eukaryota; Metazoa; Chordata; Mammalia; Eulipotyphla; Soricidae.